This 1567-nucleotide long non-coding RNA is filed under the name Fragaria vesca (wild strawberry). RNAcentral describes it as "long non-coding RNA (FVES_LNC001576)". Lineage: Eukaryota; Viridiplantae; Streptophyta; Magnoliopsida; Rosales; Rosaceae. The record is from RNAcentral.
UUGAUUUUCAUUUUUUAGCAGUUUAUCCGGUAGAGUUACAGUUUACAUGCAAUAUACUCGAAUAAAGAAAAAUGUAUUUCUUUCAUUCUGAUUUUCUUUCUUUCUUUCUUCUUUUUGCUAUCGAGUGCCACCCGAAUAUUAAAUUGGAGAGAUAACUGGACCUGGCUGGAAACUAAAGAUGGUGAAUGUAAGUACUAGCUCAAUUGCUUUGAUCUUCGGGAGUCGCUAUCUUUUCAAACGUAGGCAUUGUUAUCCUAUGGAUUUAAAUGCUUUUACCUAGCUAAUUAUCUUUUUAAGUUAAAUAAGUUCUAUUAAACUUUUCAAGUCUGCAGAUUUAAAUGAACGAUUGGAUAGAAAUAUUAGCUUAUGUUGUGAACUUUAUUUGAGCUGUUUUGGGUUUGUACUUGGUUAGGAUUUAGAAUCCGGUUUGACUUGAAACUUUUUGGUGGUGUUCUUGAAUGUCUGUACUUUUGAUAUGGUAAGUGUAGUGUCCUAUGUUAAGCUAGAUAAAUGGUAGUGUUUUUCUGACGUUAAAGUGCUUUGUGCUGAAAUUGUUCUCAAUGCUGUUUUGAAUUCGAAAUUGAUUAGGAUAUAAGAUUUUGUUUUGCUUGAAAUUAUGUGGAGUUGUUCUUCAAUGUGUGAACUCUUGAUCUGAAAAGUUUAGUGUCCUAUGAAUAAUCUAGAUAACUGGUAGUGAUUUUCUGAAGUUAAGUGCUUUGUACUAAAAUUGUUGUCAGUGUUAUGCGCUGCAGCUGUUCUGUGUUUGAAUUUGUUUAGGCUUUAUGAUUCUGUUUGGCUUGAAAUAUAGUGAAGUUGAUAUUCCAUGUGUGUACUACUGAUCUGAAAAAGUUUAGUGUUCUUUGAUAAGCUAGAUAAAUUAUAGUGAGUUUCCGAUGUUAGGUGCUCAUUGAUGAGUACUUUUCUGCCAUGUACGCUUUUGUAUGAGAUAUCUUUGUUUGGGUUAGUGUGCGCCCUAUCCAGAAAUGAAUAGUGUGGGGCUAGUGUAGGUCCUAUUCAUAAGGGAAUAAUGUGGCAUGUUUCGGUAAGUGCUCUGUGAAAUGACUCUCCCCUUUUUAGUUGUACAGAGGGUUAUGUGUUUGCCCUCAAAUUGGGAUAUUUUUGCCUUAUGAGAUGUGAAUAAGGCAAGACCUAUGAGAUGUCAAGUGUACUGUUUGAAUAUGUGAGCUUUGAUGUGAAUAGGACUUGAUGUGUUUGAUUAGAAAUUUUAGAAUCAUGUAUAAAAUUUAUGUCUCUUGUAACAAAUUACUAAUGUGAUAUUUUGUUCUCUGUCAGUUGGUUAGUGUAGGUUCUGUUCAUAGGAGACUAAAGUGGUAUGUUCCGAUAAGUUCUCUGCGAAAUGACUCCCCCUUUUAGUUGUAAAAAGGGUUAUAUGGUUGUCCUCAAAUUGUGAUAUUUUUUGCCUUAUAACAAGGCAAGACCUAUGAGAUGUGAAGUGUACUGUUUAAAUAUGUGAGCUUUGAUGUCAAUAAGACUUGAUGUGCUUGAUUAGAAAUUUUAGAAUCAUGUAUAAGAUUAAUGUCUCUUGCAACAAAUUACUAGUGUGCUA